UACUCCUACGGGAGGCAGCAGUGGGGAAUAUUGCACAAUGGGGGAAACCCUGAUGCAGCCAUGCCGCGUGCGUGAAGAAGGCCUUCGGGUUGUAAAGCACUUUCAGUAGGGAGGAAGGUAGUGUAGUUAACACCUGCAUUAUUUGACGUUACCUACAGAAGAAGCACCGGCUAACUCCGUGCCAGCAGCCGCGGUAAU
This 198-nucleotide ribosomal RNA is filed under the name uncultured bacterium. RNAcentral's name for it is "partial 16S ribosomal RNA". It matches the Rfam family "Bacterial small subunit ribosomal RNA", at positions 334 to 524 of the family's 1533-position model. The record is from RNAcentral.